RNA transcript from Populus trichocarpa (black cottonwood), 1599 nucleotides. It is a transcript of the gene named probable histone chaperone ASF1A, with no coding region annotated. The transcript has 4 exons. NCBI's taxonomy places the organism in Eukaryota, Viridiplantae, Streptophyta, Magnoliopsida, Malpighiales, Salicaceae. The record is from RefSeq and is a predicted model, not a curated record.
CUCAACGCAUCUGUUUCCCAAAUCAAUUCCCGCUCCCUCAUUUCAAUACACCCUUUCCAUUCUCCCGCCAUUCCCAAUUCAUAAAACCCUAAAUCGAACCCCUAAUAUUCAAUUUCUUCAACAAAAUCAUCUCUUUUUUUCGCUUUCAAUUCCAUCUAACCCUAAAAUCACACCUCAAAAGGCAAAAAAGGAAUAAAAAGACCUAGAACAAGCUUCUCCUCUGUUCUUUUACCUUCCUUGUGCGGUGGUGAUUUUAAUUGUUGUCCUUCUUUCCCCCCGAUUUUGUAUUUAGGAUUUUAGAUGAAGGUUUUAGAACCUCAGGGUAUGGUUUUGUUUUAAUUUGAUAGAAAGACGAUAGAUAAUGAGUGCAGUGAAUCUUACUAACGUUACCGUACUAGAUAAUCCGGCGCCGUUUCCGUCUCCCUUUCAGUUCGAGAUCUCAUACGAGUGCUUGACUCCUCUUAAAGACGAUUUGGAAUGGAAACUAAUCUACGUGGGGUCUGCUGAGGAUGAAACAUAUGAUCAACUAUUGGAGAGUGUACUUGUUGGGCCUGUCAAUGUUGGAAAUUAUCGUUUUGUCUUACAGGCAAACCCACCAGAUCCAUCAAAGAUUCGUGAAGAAGAUAUCAUUGGUGUCACAGUACUUUUGUUGACAUGCUCUUAUUUAGGUCAGGAAUUUGUUCGAGUUGGCUACUAUGUGAACAAUGAUUACGAAGAUGAGCAGCUUAGAGAGGAACCUCCACCUAAAGUGUUGAUUGAUAAGGUCCAAAGAAACAUCCUAUCUGAUAAACCCAGGGUUACAAAGUUCCCUAUCAAUUUUUAUCCUGAAAAUACUGAGGCAGCAGAGGAACCCCCUGAGAAUGAUCAACCUGCUAAAACUGAUGGAAAUGAAGAACAAUUGCCUGCUUCUCCACAUCAUGCUUUAGAUAAAGAGGGACCUUGAAUUUUACAAUCAGCAUCAACUACUAACCUCCCAAGUUUCUCAUUCAGGUUUCACAUCAUCAGGGUCAUUUUAGGCGAUGCCUUUUGCCAUAUAUUUUGAUGUGAGGCACGUGUUGAACUUUUUUAGCUAGAAAUUGAGGAAGUGAUGGUUUGUAUACUGACUGGGGUUAACUGGCUGUUUUUUGGUUUUGUUUGUUUUUUGUCACUAAUACAGUUGAUUUGCUGAAGAUGGUCUUAGUUUGUGUGAACUGAUAAUAUAAAUAGAUGCAUCUCAGUAUUGGGAGGUAUUCGUGCAUGCAUGAUAUGAAGCAGCAAGAUGAUCAUUGUGAUCUGCCGUAAUGAUGCCUCGAUGUGGAUGGUAGUUGAGGUUGAUCUGUAUCCCUAAUGGACUGCCUUUUCACUUUUCUCCAGAGGCAGAUGCGGUGCCACUCAUAGUAGCGGCCAGAAUCAAAGUAAAAAACUUGCUGCUGAGUUUGAUUCAGUCAAAUUCUAAAUCAAACUCCAUUUGUUAGAAAAGGAUUUAAAUUUUGUUCUUUAAUCUUCGAACAAAUUUGAGGUUGUUCGCUUGCCUAACCUUUAUAGUUUUGAUGUAUUGUUAGCGUAAACAUUGGCACCACUAAUUUGAAUUCAACCUCCAAUUGUUUCAUUCAUGCUUCA